CCCUUAGAUGUUCUGGGCUGCACGCGCGCUACACUGAAGCUAUCAACACGUUUUCCCUCCCUGAGAAGGGCGGGUAACCUUUUGAAUCAGCUUCGUGGUAGGGAUCGGGGCUUGCAAUUGUUCCCCGUGAACCAGGAAUUCCUAGUAGACGCGAGUCAUAAGCUCGCAUCGAUUAAGUCCCUGCCCUUUGUACACACCGCCCGUCGCUCCUACCGAUUGAAUGAUCCGAUGAAUAUCAUGGAUUGAGGAUGCAAGUAGGUUCGCCUAUCUUCAUCUUCGAGAAGUGAAGUAAAUCUUAUCAUUUAGAGGAAGGAGAAGUCGUAACA
Molecule: ribosomal RNA, 326 nt
Filed under: uncultured eukaryote
Lineage: Eukaryota
Description: partial 18S ribosomal RNA
Rfam family: Eukaryotic small subunit ribosomal RNA
Source: RNAcentral